GAAGGUUUGUUCGGUGUGAUGCACUAUCUAAUGCCUAAAAGAAACAUUCUCUCCCUGCACUCUAGCAACAAUAUGGGCAAAGAUGGUGAUGUUGCCCUCUUCUUUGGACUAUCAGUACUGUUAUCCAGGUAUAUGGCUAACAAAUUUGACAAGGGCAAGGUAUGAAGUGAGGGAGAAGACAUGCACGAGGAAGAAGAAGAAGAGGCGAAGAGGGUUGAAGGGAAUGGAGAGUAUGGACUCGGAUUCAAAGUGAAGGGGAAUAAGAAGGGACAAUUUCGUUUGUUUUUUUCUCCCUUUUUUCUUUGAUGUAGU
This is a long non-coding RNA of Zingiber officinale, 312 nucleotides long. RefSeq lists it as uncharacterized. The record is from RefSeq and is a predicted model, not a curated record. NCBI's taxonomy places the organism in Eukaryota, Viridiplantae, Streptophyta, Magnoliopsida, Zingiberales, Zingiberaceae. The transcript is spliced from 3 exons.